GCCCAGCUCAGAGGUUGUCGAGGCUCCUACUAGCCAGGCGCCUUCUAAGCGCUUGGCCGCAGGUUCGAGUCCUGCCGGGGGCG
This 83-nucleotide transfer RNA is filed under the name Streptomyces stelliscabiei. RNAcentral describes it as "tRNA-Arg". The record is from RNAcentral. Lineage: Bacteria; Bacillati; Actinomycetota; Actinomycetes; Kitasatosporales; Streptomycetaceae.